UACGGAGGGUGCAAGCGUUAUCCGGAUUCACUGGGUUUAAAGGGUGCGUAGGUGGGUUGGUAAGUCAGUGGUGAAAUCUCCGAGCUUAACUUGGAAACUGCAUUCGAUACUGCCGUGCUUGAGGACUGGAGAGGAGACUGGAAUUUACGGUGUAGCGGUGAAAUGCGUAGAUAUCGUAAGGAAGACCAGUGGCGAGGGCGGGUCUCUGGACGGUUCCUGACGUUGAGGCCCGAGGCCAGGGGAGCAAACGGG
This 252-nucleotide ribosomal RNA is filed under the name uncultured bacterium. RNAcentral's name for it is "partial 16S ribosomal RNA". It matches the Rfam family "Bacterial small subunit ribosomal RNA", at positions 524 to 776 of the family's 1533-position model. The record is from RNAcentral.